This 589-nucleotide ribosomal RNA is filed under the name uncultured Colwellia sp. RNAcentral's name for it is "bacterial SSU rRNA". It matches the Rfam family "Bacterial small subunit ribosomal RNA", at positions 70 to 653 of the family's 1533-position model. The record is from RNAcentral. Lineage: Bacteria; Pseudomonadati; Pseudomonadota; Gammaproteobacteria; Alteromonadales; Colwelliaceae.
CAUUUCUAGCUUGCUAGAAGAUGACGAGCGGCGGACGGGUGAGUAAUGCUUGGGAAUAUGCCUUAUGGUGGGGGACAACAGUUGGAAACGACUGCUAAUACCGCAUAACGUCUACGGACCAAAGGGGGGGAUCUUCGGACCUCCCGCCAUUUGAUUAGCCCAAGUGAGAUUAGCUAGUUGGUGAGGUAAUGGCUCACCAAGGCGACGAUCUCUAGCUGGUUUGAGAGGAUGAUCAGCCACACUGGGACUGAGACACGGCCCAGACUCCUACGGGAGGCAGCAGUGGGGAAUAUUGCACAAUGGGCGAAAGCCUGAUGCAGCCAUGCCGCGUGUGUGAAGAAGGCCUUCGGGUUGUAAAGCACUUUCAGUUGUGAGGAAAGGUGGGUAGUUAAUAGCUGCUCACUGUGACGUUAGCAACAGAAGAAGCACCGGCUAACUUCGUGCCAGCAGCCGCGGUAAUACGAGGGGUGCAAGCGUUAAUCGGAAUUACUGGGCGUAAAGCGUUCGUAGGCGGUCUAUUAAGCAAGAUGUGAAAGCCCAGGGCUCAACUUUGGAACUGCAUUUUGAACUGGUAGACUAGAGUACUGUA